Molecule: RNA transcript, 1680 nt
Organism: Hibiscus syriacus
Lineage: Eukaryota; Viridiplantae; Streptophyta; Magnoliopsida; Malvales; Malvaceae
Gene name: serine/arginine-rich-splicing factor SR34-like
Exons: 13
Source: RefSeq, a predicted model, not a curated record
UUAUUUUCAUCGCCCAGCCUUCACCUCUCUCAAAUUUCAAAACCCUAAACAAUCUCGUUUCCGAAGACAUCCAUCUCAGAAAAGAAACAUUAACCUCGCAGGGAAGAGAGAGAAGAAAAAUGAGUAGCCGUUCGAGCAGAACUCUCUAUGUUGGGAAUCUUCCUGGAGAUGUUCGCGAGAGGGAAGUGGAAGAUUUGUUUUACAAGUAUGGUUCCAUAGUACAUAUUGACCUGAAGAUUCCACCAAGACCUCCAGGUUAUGCUUUUGUUGAGUUUGAAGAGGCUCGAGAUGCUGAAGAUGCUAUUCGUGGUCGUGAUGGCUAUGAUUUUGGAGGACAGAGUUUGCGGGUUGAACUUGCACAUGGUGGUCGUGGGCGUUCAUCUUCAGAUCGUCACAGCAGUUAUGGAGGUGGGCGUGGGCGUGGGCGUGGACCUGCCAAACGUUCUGAAUAUCGUGUGUUAAUCACUGGAUUGCCAUCUUCAGCUUCAUGGCAGGAUCUUAAGGAUCACAUGCGUCGAGCCGGGGAUGUUUGUUUUUCCCAAGUUUUCCGUGAUGGUGGUGGGACAACGGGAAUUGUGGAUUACACCAAUUAUGAUGACAUGAAGUAUGCUAUCAAGAAACUUGACGACUCUGAAUUUCGGAAUGCCUUUUCUCGGGCUUAUGUUCGGGUUAAGGAAUAUGAUUCUAAGAGAGAUUCCUCUAGAAGUCCCAGUCGUGGUCGUUCUCUCUCAAGAAGCCAAAGCCAUAGUCGCAGUCGCUCUCGUGGUCGGAGCACUAGCCGCAGCAAAUCUCCUAGAACCAAACCUUCACGCAAGUCACCUGCAAAGUCAAGAUCAAGGUCUCGUUCCUCCCCUGCAUCAAGGUCUCGUUCUUUUUCAGGAUAUGGAUAUAUGCUGCAAACUGGGGAUUGGAUAUUGGGAUCUAGUGGUGAUAUGUUUCAAAUUGCAUGAAACUCGUAUGGUUGCAGAAGUAUGGUGUUUUUUAGAUGGGCAGCUUAAAAUCACUCCUGUCCCUUGUCUAAUAUACAUAGCAUCAUACAUGCCCAUGGGUGCUAGAUUUGUAACUAAGGAAUCAGCUGGAUUUAUUUUCAAGGAAUUGCAAUAGUAGAGCUGGAUUUCAGUGUAAAUGCACUGGGAUUUGCAAGUCAUCACUUUGAGCAGUAGAACAUUUCACUUUCAUUUUCAGCUCCAGAUAUUGCCAAGCUAAUAGGACAUGCUAUGUGGAUUGACUAUGGAAUUCGGUGGCACAGGAGCUUGCUCAUUCUAUAUCCACUGGUGUCGAAAUAUUGGAAUUUAAAUUUUGAGGAUUUUAUUUUGCGAGAUUAGGUUUUAUUCCUUGUGUGGGCAGGUUUCCGAGAUGGCCUUGUACUUAUUCUUUGUUUCCUUAUUUAACUGCCAUAGAUCUGUGCAUUCUCCUUUUUAUUCCUUUUGAAUGUGGUGAUUCUGACGUGGAAGGGGCAUCAAGGCUCUUGGACAUAAAAGUUGUUAAAAAAGGAACAUGUUGAUUUUUAAACUUGGGUUCUUUCUGGAACUUUUGCAGAUCUCGAUCAAGAUCAAGAUCUCCGUUGCCUUCUCGCGGAAAAGGAAGGAGCAAGAGUCCUAAAAGGCGCAGUGUUAGCGGGAGUCCUAAAAGACACAGUGUUAGCAAGAGUCCUAAAAGACGGAGUGUUAGCAAGAGUCC